CGGCGAGUGAAGCGGCAACAGCUCAAAUUUGAAAUCUGGCCUCGGCCCGAGUUGUAAUUUGCAGAGGAUGCUUCGGGCGCGGUGCCUUCCGAGUUCCCUGGAACGGGACGCCAUAGAGGGUGAGAGCCCCGUAUGGUUGGACGCCUAGCCUGUGUGAAGCUCCUUCGACGAGUCGAGUAGUUUGGGAAUGCUGCUCAAAAUGGGAGGUAUAUCUCUUCUAAAGCUAAAUACCGGCCAGAGACCGAUAGCGCACAAGUAGAGUGAUCGAAAGAUGAAAAGCACCUUGAAAAGGGGGUUAAACAGCACGUGAAAUUGUUGAAAGGGAAGGGCCCAUGACCAGACUUGUGUCCGGCGGAUCACCCAGCGUUCUCGCUGGGGCACUCCGCCGGGUCCAGGCCAGCAUCGGUUCUCGCCGGGGGAUAAAGGCUCUGGGAACGUAGCUCCUCCGGGAGUGUUAUAGCCCUCUGCGUAAUACCCUGGCGGGGACCGAGGUACGCGCUCCGCAAGGAUGCUGGCGUAAUGGUCAUCAGCCACCCGUCUUGAAACACGGAUCAAGGAGUCGUCCAUUAGAGCGAGCGUUUGGGUGUCAAACCCGCACGCGUAAUGAAAGUGAACGUAGGUGAGAGCUUCGGCGCAUCAUCGACCGAUCCUGAUGUCCUCGGAUGGAUUUGAGUAUGAGUUUUACUGGACGGACCCGAAAGAUGGUGAACUAUGCCUGUAUAGGGUGAAGCCAGAGGAAACUCUGGUGGAGGCUCGCAGCGGUUCUGACGUGCAAAUCGAUCGUCAAAUAUGGGCAUGGGGGCGAAAGACUAAUCGAACCAUCUAGUAGCUGGUUACCGCCGAAGUU
RNAcentral lists this ribosomal RNA (847 nucleotides) under Phaeoacremonium rubrigenum. Its description in RNAcentral is "eukaryotic LSU rRNA". It matches the Rfam family "Eukaryotic large subunit ribosomal RNA", at positions 87 to 968 of the family's 3401-position model. The record is from RNAcentral. Lineage: Eukaryota; Fungi; Ascomycota; Sordariomycetes; Togniniales; Togniniaceae.